Molecule: ribosomal RNA, 502 nt
Filed under: uncultured bacterium
Lineage: Bacteria
Description: bacterial SSU rRNA
Rfam family: Bacterial small subunit ribosomal RNA
Source: RNAcentral
AUGGCUCAGGAUGAACGCUAGCUACAGGCUUAACACAUGCAAGUCGAGGGGAAACGAUAUUGGAAGCUUGCUUCUGAUAGGCGUCGACCGGCGCACGGGUGAGUAACGCGUAUCCAACCUGCCCAUCACUUGGGGAUAACCUUGGUGAAAGUUAAGACUAAUACCCAAUGACGUCUCUAGAAGACAGUCUGAAAGAGAUUAAAGAUUUAUCGGUGAUGGAUGGGGAUGCGUCUGAUUAGCUUGUUGGCGGGUAACGGCCCACCAAGGCGACGAUCAGUAGGGGUUCUGAGAGGAAGGUCCCCCACAUUGGAACUGAGACACGGUCCAAACUCCUACGGGAGGCAGCAGUGAGGAAUAUUGGUCAAUGGGCGAGAGCCUGAACCAGCCAAGUAGCGUGCAGGAUGACGGCCCUAUGGGUUGUAAACUGCUUUUAUAAGGGAAUAAAGUGGGAGUCGUGACUCUUUUGCAUGUACCUUAUGAAUAAGGACCGGCUAAUUCCGUG